Nothobranchius furzeri (turquoise killifish) is the source of this 2600-nucleotide non-coding RNA. NCBI's taxonomy places the organism in Eukaryota, Metazoa, Chordata, Actinopteri, Cyprinodontiformes, Nothobranchiidae. The record is from RefSeq and is a predicted model, not a curated record.
CUGUCUCUCUUUCUCUGUCUCUCUCUCUCUCUCUCUCUCUCUCUCUGUCUCUCUCUGUCUCUCUCUCUCUGUCUCUCUCUCUCUGUCUCUCUUUCUCUGUCUCUCUCUCUCUCUCUCUCUCUCUCUCUCUCUGUCUCUCUCUUUUGAGGGGGAACGCCGGGAGAGGAAAUGUGAAAAAGAGAGAGGACUUUGAAACGGCUCCUGAUCUUACAUCAGCACUUGGCUGGUGAAUCACGCUGCACAUGUUGCACGCUUUUUUGGUGCAGCUGUCACUGCACUCGGUGGCGGAUGCGCCGCUCACGGGCGCUGGUGCCAAACGCCGUCAGGCUCACCUGUGGCCCUCAGUUAAAGGGAAAACUAAAACUUGGGAAGAAUGCUGAUUAACUGUCCUUUUUAGGCAAGGCAGCUUUAUUGGGCGUCCUCCUGCACUCAUGCAGAUUUAGCGCCACCAUUGUGUGCAGCAGGGUGGGGGUUGACUAGGCUAUUGUACGUCAGAGGCUGAUUCAAACAAUACCUAAAAAGUGAGCUCAUGGGUGGUUUGUCUGCUUGCUUAAGCACGUCUCUUUGAUUUUGAUCUCGUCGGUUUUUCAUUCAGCAAAACGGAAAACCAUCAAUCAGAAAUCGUACUGUUUAAAUAAUCAAACAGGAAGUGCAGCCUCUCAAAAGCCGUAGUUUUUUUUUAGCUUCCUGUAAAGUCCAUUUUGUUAGAGUGGUGUCCAGUACUUUUGAAAGACUCGUUCAAACACCCAGCUCCGAGCACAAGACUCUGCUCACGCCUCUGACACUCGGUGUCUGUAUCCUCCCACGGUUUGUUUCCGCAGAGCUGGAGAGUUCAGACGUGGUAUUCUCAGAGUCAGAGGCCAAGUAAAGCACUCCAAGUUCUACUGCCGGCCCACUUCUAGUCAUGUUUGCACAAAAGUGCAUUGUCCUCGGUGUUAGCUUUGUUUCGUGACACGGGCCUUUCAAAAAGAUGCAAGUAUCAGCAACUUUACAGUCAGUGCUGUGAGAAUCAAACUGACUCCAUACAGAUUUGUUCUAUUUCUGUAUUUUUUUUUUUUUGUUCACUUUAAAAUGUUUUUAAUAGGCAAACAAAUUUCACCCUUCAUGUUCCUCCUGCGGGUGGGUCCACAGUUGGAUGAGCCCACGUAUCCGGUUUGGGCUGGGCCCAGCCGGGCCCCAUGGGCAAAAGCCCGGUCACCAGGCGCUCGCUCACGGGCCCCAACCCCAGGCCUGGCUCCAGGGUGGGACCCCGGUAUCCCUCCAGGCCGGGUACUCCGACUCUUUGAUUGUAUAUCCAUGAAAGAUCCUCGACCGAAAGAACGAGAUCGCGGAUACAAGCGGCGGAAAUGAGUUUCCUCCGUAGGGUGGCCGGGCUCAGCCUUAGAGAUAGGGUGAGGAGCUCGGACAUUCGGGAGGGACUCAGAGUAGAACCGCUGCUCCUCCGUAUCAAAAGGAGUCAGUUGAGGUGGUUUGGGCAUCUGGUCAGGGUGCCUCCUGGACGCCUCCCUGGGGAGGUGUUUCGGGCAUGUCCUGCCGGCAGGAGGCCCCCGGGAAGAACCAGGACACGCUGGAGGGACUGUGUUUCUUGGCUGACCAGGGAACGUCUUGGGAUUGACCCUGGAGGAGCUGGCCCAAGUGGCUGAGGAGAUGGAAGUCUGGGCGUCUCUGCUUAGGCUACUGUCCCCGCAACUUGACCCCGGAUAAGCAGAAGAGAAUGAAUGGAUGGAGUUUGUGAUACUGGUCCAUCCUAUCACCCUGGAGGAAUUUUCUCCCAAUCUUAUUCACAGAACUGUUUUAAUUCUGAAUGUAAUUUUUGCCCCUUUGUCUCCUUCUUAUUGUUGAAACAUGACCUUUGACCUUUAAUACAACUAAGUGAUGCCUGCAGUGCUUUAGAUGUAGUUCUGGCCUCUUUAGUUAUUUUACUUCUUUAGAGGGGGUCAUGAUAUUGAUAAUGGAUGAUUUAGCAAAGGGGCAAUUACUCUUUCACAUACAGCCAAGUGGAGUCAGAUAUUUUUGCCCUAAUGAAUAAAAUUAUCAUUUGUAUUUACUCAAAUAUUUUGUCUAAUAGCUAAAUUUGUUUGCCAGUCCAAAAAUUUAUGAGUAUAAAUAAACAAGAAAGCCGCAAAACAUCUUAAUCUAUCUCAAUCUAUAUCAUUUUAUUUAUUACUUAUUUUCUAAUUUUUGUCAUUUAUAUUAGCUCUUUUAUUACAUUUUUACUCAUUUUAAUCCAGUGUUUCCUCUGUGGGGGCCCUCUGCCCCGGGAGCGGUGGUCGACUGUAGCUUCCUGGGCGCUCUAUAGGUGGGGGUCUAUGCUCCCCCUCCACUGAGCGCCCUGACUUAGUGUGGAAGACCUGAUGCUGCCGGGGCAGACGGCUCCUCUGAUGGCGUUUCCUUGCGUUACCAUACUUGGCUCAUCUGGACUCAGCCUAAUAUAAUUUUUACUUGUGUGAGUCUGUGUGUGCGUGUGCUUGUGCGUGUGCUUGCAUAUGUUUGUAAAUGUUUUUAACCUGUUAUGGGAAUCUGGGGUCAUUUUGUAAAGCACUUUGAAUCACACUUUGUUUGAAAAGCGCUUUAGAAAUAAAAUUUGAUUGAUUGAUUGA